GCGGCUCCGGUCUCCGGGCGUACUCCGCUCUCUUAAGAGUUCCUUUUCUCCAGGUCACCGAAUUGUCCCCGACCCCUUUCCUUAAGAUCGGCUUGUGACCUGCCAGGGGUUUCUGCUGUGAAUGGCCGCUUGUACUAUGAUAAUCACCUUGCGAUCAAAGUUUUCCUCCAGUGAACUUGUGCCCAGAAUAAGGACGCCAUAUUCUCAAGAGUUCCUUCAUCCACUUCCGCCGUACGAUCUCUCUCAUCGGUGAAUGCUUUCUCUCUUCCGCCCCAAUGUUCGCUGAUUGGUAUUCUUCAAAGACCAAACGCGCUUCUCUCGGCACCACUGAUUGGCUUGAUUUUAGUUCCUGAAGAAUUUGCUAGCCAUUUGCAGACCACCGUGUCGCACCUGUGAGCAGCAGUAGGGCCCGCUGGGUCUCCUGGCCAACCAGCACGAUCUGCUUGAAGCUCAUGGAGUGGUGGAAUGUCAUCUUGAAGACCCGCUGCCCACUGGACUGCAGAUAGACCUCCACACAGUCACAGGCCCGGCUACCGGUGGAGCCCACCACUGCCUGCUGUUCCCGAGUAGCCAAAACAUAGAGGUACUUCCGGUAA
This 596-nucleotide long non-coding RNA is filed under the name Rattus norvegicus (Norway rat). RNAcentral's name for it is "long non-coding RNA NONRATT007844". Lineage: Eukaryota; Metazoa; Chordata; Mammalia; Rodentia; Muridae. The record is from RNAcentral.